RNAcentral lists this ribosomal RNA (465 nucleotides) under uncultured bacterium. Its description in RNAcentral is "partial 16S ribosomal RNA". It matches the Rfam family "Bacterial small subunit ribosomal RNA", at positions 28 to 507 of the family's 1533-position model. The record is from RNAcentral.
GACGAACGCUGGCGGCGUGCUUAACACAUGCAAGUCGAACGGAAAGGCCCUGCUUGCAGGGUACUCGAGUGGCGAACGGGUGAGUAACACGUGGGUGAUCUGCCCUGCACUUCGGGAUAAGCCUGGGAAACUGGGUCUAAUACCGGAUAGGAGCCAUUUUUAGUGUGAUGGUUGGAAAGUUUUUUCGGUGUAGGAUGAGCUCGCGGCCUAUCAGCUUGUUGGUGGGGUAAUGGCCUACCAAGGCGGCGACGGGUAGCCGGCCUGAGAGGGUGGACGGCCACACUGGGACUGAGAUACGGCCCAGACUCCUACGGGAGGCAGCAGUGGGGAAUAUUGCACAAUGGGCGCCAGCCUGAUGCAGCGACGCCGCGUGUGGGAUGACGGCCUUCGGGUUGUAAACUCCUUUCGCUAGGGACGAAGCUUUUUGUGACGGUACCUAGAUAAGAAGCACCGGCUAACUACGUG